ACGAAACACAUAAUCCUGACAAGCUUCCAACAAUUGCAGUUAGGCAGGUUUGAUGGCGUAAUUGCCACCAUGUUAUGGCUGCAUGCAUAUGAUGCCUCAUGCUUCCAUGCAUGCAGAAAAAUACUAAGGUUUCUUGGUGGUGGCGGCGAGAUGUUUGAGAAGAAGACGAGAAGUAGGGGGGUGGGUUGAGCGGAGGGGAGGCGGCAGGCGGCGGCGAUGCUGGGUGGCGUCGGCAGCGUUGUAGAUUUUUUAGAUGAUUUAUAAAUUUGUGAAUGAUUUUGUUGUUGAGUAUGUUCAUUCGAUCUGUGAUGUCUGAUUUGUGAAUCUGUAGAUGUUUUUAUUGUUGAGUAUGUUUAUCUGAUCUCUGAUGUCAAUUUGAUGUGAGGAUUUGGGUAUUUCAAUAUACAAGCAGCAAAAAACAAUGAAAAAAACAUCAUUUAGUCUCGGUUGGUAACACCAACCGGUACUAAAGAUGAUAGCAUCAGUCACAUGGUGAUACCAUCUUUAGUUCUAAUUAGUGUUACCAACAGGGGCUAAAAAUGAAUCUU
Non-coding RNA from Oryza sativa Japonica Group (Japanese rice), 548 nucleotides. The record is from RefSeq and is a predicted model, not a curated record. Lineage: Eukaryota; Viridiplantae; Streptophyta; Magnoliopsida; Poales; Poaceae.